This 4166-nucleotide ribosomal RNA is filed under the name Triticum aestivum (bread wheat). Its description in RNAcentral is "partial small subunit ribosomal RNA". The record is from RNAcentral. Lineage: Eukaryota; Viridiplantae; Streptophyta; Magnoliopsida; Poales; Poaceae.
GAUUUGUAGGGGCUUGUGUUCUGAUGGUGGGGGUGGAGCCGCCGGCGCCGCCCUCGCGGACGCCCAUCGCCGCGCGGCUGGCGGCCCGCGGGGUCAGGCCGAGGAGGGUCUCCGCCAGGCGCUCCUGGCCGCCCGGCUGCGGCCGCUUCCGCGCUGCUCCGCCUGCCCCCGAGGCCGGCGACGGCGAGAGGGGCGCCACCAAUGGCGUCAUCCAGGGCAGAGUGGAGGAGGCGGCCAGUCACGCGGGCGUUGCCUCGGCGGCGGCCCGGCCUCAACCGGAUACUGAAGGGUUGGCGGAGAGGACGAAGGAGGUUGGAGAUGCAAUCGACGCCGUCGUUGUUUCAUCGGCAGCGUGCAACGGCGACCUCCCUCACGCCCCGCCUCAGCCGGAGACGAUGCCAGAGGAGAGGAAGGAGGGCAGAGAGACACACAUGGACAGGGCCGGUGUUUCCCCCGUGGUGUGCAACGGUGACCUCCCGCACGCCCUGCCUCAGCCGGAGACCGAGGGGAUGGUGCAGAUGAGGAAGGAGGGUGGAGAGGCACACAUGGAUACUGCCGAUGUUCCCUCUGUGGCAAGUAACAGAGAUCUUCCACACACGCCGCUUCAGCCGGAGACCAUGGUGGUGGUGAGGAAGGAAGGUGGAGAGGCGCAAUCGUCCAGCGGUGGCGAUGCCCGCGGUCAGGCAGAAAGCAGCGCGAUCGAGGUGAUGCCGCUGGCGUUUGCUGCCCCGAAGAGUUUUGCUGUUGCUGCUGCCAAUGGUUCCGUCGAGAAUGGGGGAGAUGGGGCUGAGUCAUUGCUGAUGGAGGGGAACAGAGGCCUGGGGAGUGGUCGAUUGGUCAGGGAGGAGGAUGUGGCUGGCAAUGGCAAUGGCAGUGUGAUGGAAAACAGAACGGGUAAUGGUGAAUUGGAGAGAAAAGAGGAUGGGCAUGAUACAGUGAGAAAGAAGAGGUGGUUGAUGUCUGCUGUAAAUCCCCCUCCCAAGAGGAGGGCCAUCUCAGCUGUACGCAAUUUUCCACCUGGCUGUGGGAGGGAUGCUGUUACUGGAACUGGCAGCAGAGUUGAGGAAGGGUCAGUAUUGGAAGCCACGCCUAUCAGUUUCGCUACAAGGGGCGCCUCUGUAGUGGAUGCCUUGACCACGGCUCCAGUUUCAGGUCAUGGUGCUUCCUCGAUGGUCGUGAGAGAUGCUUCCAGUGAGGAGGUGCAAGGCAAAAGAGCAGAGGUUGUAGGAGCGGGUGAUGGUGAGGUGAGAGGCAAAUUCGAUGGAAGCUUGCGGAAAGGUACUCCUAAGACUUAUGUGAGAAGUCGUUUUGUUGAUGCAAAGACAAAGGGCAAACGACCAAAGAAUGUCGCAAUGAAUGAUACAUUGCGAGAUGAUGUUGGGGUCUCUGGAGACGGCACGCUGAAAAACAGGAAUUCAAGAGAUGAUGUGCGCUCAAAUAGUAACACGGAGCAUGGCGUUGUGAAGUUGAAGAGUUAUGGCAUAGGCAAGGACUCUUUGAUCAGCUCUUCUAAGGAGUCCAAGUGUGGAAAUCAUGAUAUGACCAAUCAAAGUGAAGAAACCGAUGAUUUGACCUUAAUUAGUGACAAGCUAAUCGUACAAGCAUUGAUGGCUCCAGACAAAUGCCCAUGGACAAAAGGAAGGAAGUCUAAUGCUAGUGCUUCCAACUCUCUUACUCCUAGGAACAAGUCUCUUCCUCCUAAGAAACCAAAGAAAAAGGACGCUACUCCAAGGAAAGAAUUGCCCCCCAAAGUGACACCUUCUACAUCGGCCGUGCAUGAGAAAAUUGAGCAUGGAGAGUACUCUUGCUUGGAAGAUGAUGACAACCCUAUGGCAUUAGUUGUCCCUGAAAGGAAAGAAUUGUGUGUCACUCUCCCUCCUUGUGCUCCUUUUGGGGACCAAAGUGUUGAUGCUCGAAGCAAAGUUAGGAAGUUGCUCAAGUUGUUCCAGUUGAUAUGUCGGAAGCUUAUGCAAGCCGAGGAACAACAAUUACGUAAUGUUGGAAGGAUUGACCUUGAGGCCGUUGAAGUUCUAAAGAAGUAUGAUGGAUAUUCUAAACCUGAUGCUAUCGUGGGCAAUGUUCCCGGUGUUGUUGUUGGUGAUGAAUUUCAUUUUAGAGUUGAGUUGUCGAUAGUUGGACUACAUAGGAUAUACCAAGGUGGCAUUGACUCCGCCAUUGUGGAUGGUACCCGCAUUGCAAUAAGCAUUGUCGCUUCCGGUGGGUAUCCCGAUGAGUUGUCUAGCUCGGACGAGUUAAUAUAUACCGGCUCCGGAGGUAAAGCCACCGGCAAGAAGGAGGCAGAGGAUCAAAAGCUUAAGGGUGGUAAUCUUGCCUUGAAGAAUUGCAUCAAAACUAAGACUCCGGUCCGAGUGAUUCAUGGGUUCAAAGGUCAAAGUAGAAGUGAAGUUGGGCAUUCUAAAUCCAAGCAAAUAUCGACAUACACUUAUGAUGGGUUAUAUGUGGUGAUGGAUUGUUGGCAAGAAGGAGCAAGUGGCUCGAUGGUCUUCAAGUACAAGUUAAAAAGGAUCCCGGGUCAACCUGAAUUAGCUUUACACAUAGUCAAGGAAACAAGGAUGUCUAAAGUUCGUAAAGGUCUUCGCUGUCCUGAUAUAUCUCUAGAGAAAGAAAGGAUUCCCAUAUGUGUGAUCAACACAAUUGAUGACGCGCAGCCAACACCAUUUGAGUAUAUCACCAAAGUCAUAUAUCCACCGUCGUAUGCAAAAGAACCUCCGCAAGGCUGUGAUUGCACCGACGGUUGCUCGGACUCUAGUAGAUGUGCUUGUGCAGUGAAGAAUGGAGGAGAAAUCCCAUUCAAUUUUAAUGGUGCAAUUGUUCACGCAAAGCCGCUCAUAUAUGAGUGUGGCCCAUCUUGCAGGUGCCCUCCAACAUGCCACAAUAGGGCGAGCCAGCAUGGUAUCAAAAUUCCGCUGGAAAUAUUCAAGACUGGGGAGACAGGUUGGGGUGUAAGAUCUCUCAGUUCUAUCUCUUCAGGCAGUUUCAUAUGCGAGUAUGCAGGUGAGCUAUUGCAAGACACAGAAGCUGAAAAGAGAGAGAACGAUGAGUACCUGUUUGAUAUUGGUCAUAACUACGAUGAUGAAGAACUUUGGAAGGGGCUUCCAUCGAUGAUUCCAGGUUUAGAAUCUUCUACCUCUGAGACAAUGGAGGAGACUGUGGGCUUCACAAUAGAUGCUGCAAAGUGCGGUAACAUCGGAAGAUUCAUCAACCAUAGCUGCUCCCCAAACCUGUAUGCCCAAAAUGUCCUCUGGGACCAUGAUGACAAGAGGAUGCCGCACAUUAUGUUUUUUGCUGCUGAGAACAUUCCUCCGCUUCAAGAGCUGACUUACCACUACAAUUAUACAAUAGGUCAAGUCCGUGACAAGAAUGGUGUGGAGAAGGUAAAGGAGUGCUUGUGUGGUUCCGCUGAUUGCUGUCACAGGCUUUACUAAGUUAUUGGUUUUCGGUGACUGGCGAUGUUAAUGUUCGUAUCCGAUGGAAAUCAGUCCUAUAAUGGCAGUGCUCACUCGCUUUACCUCUGGUGACCUUGCACUCGCUGACGACAUGUAGUGUUUAUUUUCUGUGCCAGUUGAACUAUUAUUUGUUACUGCAUUUUGAAGAACAUAUAAACUCCAAUAGCUGACCCUUUUUGGGUGUUUGGGAGACUUUGAAAGAGUAGUAUGAAGUGUCCAGAAUCAAGCAUUUUGGCGUUGCACAUUCUCCUGUUGAAAUCUUCACAUGGACCUGGAGGAUACAAAUAUGCAAUGAUUAGCUUGUAUGGAGCUUUGCACUGAACAUGCUACUAGUAGUAGGACUAAAGAUGGUGGCUACAAGUGCUCGGAGCUGUGUCGACUUCCAGUUGCGAUGCCGGGGACAGACUGAAUGAUAAAUUGCUUCUGCACAAGGACUGCCCUGCAUCAUUUUGCUCAACUGUGGAUCGCAAGGCUGUAGCAAGCUGCCGAUAGAAGUUGUGGGUUCAUGCCCCUUUUUUUGUCUUUAUAAAAAUGAAUUUUGUGGAUCCAAUAGUGAGCUGCCCUGUCUUAAAGAGUUGCAGCUCUUCCUGCAUGUAAAGUUUUCAGUGUUGGUUUGGACCAUCAGAUAGACUUGCUGGAGUUGUUUCUCAGAUGCUACCAUGCAACUUCAGGAAAUAUAGAACAUUCCUACUAUUCCCA